This is a non-coding RNA of Triticum aestivum (bread wheat), 125 nucleotides long. The record is from Rfam. Lineage: Eukaryota; Viridiplantae; Streptophyta; Magnoliopsida; Poales; Poaceae.
CUUAUACUCCCUCCGUCCCAUAAUUCUUGUCUUAGAUUUGUCUAGAUACGAAUGAAUCAAGACAAGAGAUACAUCUGUAUCUAGACAUUUCUAAGACAAGAAUUUUGGGACGGAGGGAGUACAUC